This is a long non-coding RNA of Humulus lupulus (European hop), 255 nucleotides long. RefSeq lists it as uncharacterized. The record is from RefSeq and is a predicted model, not a curated record. The transcript is spliced from 2 exons. Lineage: Eukaryota; Viridiplantae; Streptophyta; Magnoliopsida; Rosales; Cannabaceae.
ACUUGCUACUUGUUACAAACAAACAGAGCAAUAUUCUGGAAGAUUUGGAGACACUGCGACUGCUCUCAAAGCUUGUGCCGGAGUAUUCUAUGUCUCUAGAUGAAGAGGGUGUUUGCAGGACUGCUUUUGAGCUGAUUUUUGCUUUUGACGAGGUCAUCUCUCUUGGACACAAGGAAAAUGUAACUGUAGCUCAGGUUAAACAGUACUGUGAAAUGGAGAGUCACGAAGAGAAGCUGCACAAACUUGUAAUGCAGA